UACGUAGGGUGCAAGCGUUAAUCGGAAUUACUGGGCGUAAAGCGUGCGCAGGCGGUUCUGUAAGACAGGUGUGAAAUCCCCGGGCUUAACCUGGGAACUGCAUUUGUGACUGCAUAGCUAGAGUACGGUAGAGGGGGAUGGAAUUCCGCGUGUAGCAGUGAAAUGCGUAGAUAUGCGGAGGAACACCGAUGGCGAAGGCGGCUCUCUGGACCGAUACUGACGCUGAGGCGCGAAAGCGUGGGGAGCAAACAGG
RNAcentral lists this ribosomal RNA (253 nucleotides) under uncultured bacterium. Its description in RNAcentral is "partial 16S ribosomal RNA". It matches the Rfam family "Bacterial small subunit ribosomal RNA", at positions 524 to 776 of the family's 1533-position model. The record is from RNAcentral.